AUUAAAUGAAAGGAAGAGCAAAUCUCACCUGAAAUCUGCAAAUGUAGUGAUCAUCUCCAUAUGCAGCACGCAUAUUCUCUACCGUUUUCCGUUUAGUGUUUCUCGGGCUAAAAUGAACGCUCAAAUUGACUAAGGCUUUAACUUUGUCAGGUCUAAACAAACACAGGCGCCAAGCAAUCAUGGCGCCCCAGUCAUGCCCAACAACAAACACCUUAUCUGCACCAAGAGCGUCGAUGAGUGCGACCAUGUCGCCGACAACAUGAAGUGUAGUGAACUUGGUAGGAUCGUCGAUAGGUGCACCGGUGGUGUCUCCGUAGCCACGGAGGUCAGGGGCGACCGCACGGUACCCGUGGGCGGCGAGGUAGAUGAUCUGGUGGCGCCAAGAGUACCAGAGCUCAGGGAAACCGUGGAUUAGAAGUACAAUUGGACCUUGACCCAUCUCUGCGAUGUGCAUGUUGAUGCCGUUGACGCUUAUCAUCUUGUGCUCUAUCCCUUCCAUCUUCGUCUGUAUCGAUUUGGAGCACAAUUCUGCAAAAUUGUACAAAGGAGUAUAUUUCAAGAGAGUCGGUAUCUUGAAGCAUUAUCCAUCCACGAGAUUAAUGUGCGCAUUAUUGAUAGUUUGUUAGACGUUCUUUUCCAAAAAUGAAAACAUGUCAUUUUUAUGUAAUCAAAAUUCAAAAGUAAUCUGAAAUAGGGUAAAUUUCGUUUAUACUUUAUACUAUUUUUAAACAUUAAAUUUUUAUUUGUACACUUUAAUUUUUAAAUAUAAUAAAUACUAUAUUUUUAAAAAAUUUAGAAUAUUAUAUAUUUUUAUUAAUCCAAGUAUUAAUUUUAUUACGUUAUAACAUUUUUAAUAUUUUAAAAAUUGAUUACUACCAUGUGCGAUUAGCAAUAAAUCUUACAUUGUCCAAGAAACAAUAAUAUACUUUACUAAUCUACACAUAAAACAUUAUACUGCCUAUAUAAAUAUUGUUCUUGAAAUAAAAUAAGAUGCAAGUCAGAAUGAACCUUAUUUUAUAGUUCCCACUCCUCCCGACCACAUGCACCACAAACACCUCUAAAACAUGCAACAACUACCUAAGUGUUGGUGAAACAUACAACUCAAAGUAAGAUAUCACUAGGUAUUGUAAUUUAACACCUUAUGUAUGCUGAAUUAUAUAUGUAUGGAGGUGAUUACUAAUCCCCUUUACAUAUUACAAUUGGUGUAAUCAAUCUUCCUUAAUUUCAUUCUACACUCCUCCAUGGAAGCUCCCCCAAAUCAGAACAUUAGAACUUCUGCAAGAAGUCAUAAAUGUGUUUGUUGAUCUUGUCUGGUAUUUCUUGAGUGAUGAAGUGAGCUGCACCUUCAAUCACCACAACUUCCUCCAACUGAGGUACAUUUUUCUUAAAUCCACCACCCUUUACGUAUUCCUUAUUAUACACCAAAUCUAACUCCCCAACAAUAUACUUUACUGGAACACUUGCUCUAGCAUCUGUCCAUGGUGCUUCCAGUUCCCAGUCUCUACAAGUAAGAUAAUCAAGAUUUCAAUUUCCAGAAACAAAUGAAGGGUAGUGAUUUGAAUUUUCAAAGAAUUGUAAAGGAACUAACAGGUCAACACAACGGUAGUAAUUUAGUGCUCCUGUAAAGCCAGUUUGCUCGAAUUUUUUGGUGUAAUAAUCAACAUCUUCUUCAGAUAGCCAUGAUGGCAAGAUGACAGGGGUACCAUACAAAGCUCCAAAGGGCUUAUCUGUAGGGAAAUAAAAAGGAGCACGAUCCCUGUAUGUCAAGAAUUUCUCAAUAACUUUCUUGGUUCCAUAACUAGCAAACACAGCUUCCAUUUCCCCUGGUUCCUGCAACAAAGUUAAAAACGAGAGUUAAAAAGAUUGAGCCCAAAGAGAUGAAAGUAAGUUAUGAUUCGUGACAUUAGGGUAAGAGUCUUUAAUCCGUAACAGCAGAAGCGAUAAAUCAUCGUAGCUCAAAUUAAUAGGUUUGACAGCAUUUUCCCAUCAAAACCAAGUGAAACGAAGAACAAAUGUCACCUGAAAUCUGCACAUGUAGUGAUCAUCUCCGUAUGCAGCACGAGCAUUCUCUAAAAUUUUCCGUUUAGGGUUUCUUGGGGUAAAGUGAACGCUCAAAUUGACCAAGGCUUUAACUUUGUCAGGUCUAAACAAACACAGGCGCCAAGCAAUCAAGGCGCCCCAGUCAUGCCCGACAACAAACACCUUAUCGGCACCAAGAGAAUCGAUGAGUGCGACCAUGUCGCCGGCAACGUGAAGUGUAGUGAACUUGGUAGGAUCGUCGAUAGGUGCACCGGUGGUGUCUCCGUAACCACGGAGGUCCGGGGCUACUGCUCGGUACCCAUGAGCGGCGAGGUAGAUGAUCUGGUGGCGCCAGGAGUACCAGAGCUCAGGGAAACCGUGGAUUAGUAGUACAAUUGGGCCUUGACCCAUCUCUGCAACAUGCAUAUUGAUACCGUUGACGCUGAUCAUCUUGUGCUCUAUCCUUUCCAUCUUCGUCUCUGUUGAUUUGGAUCACAACUCUGCAAAAUUGGGCACGGGAAUCUGUUUCGAGAUAGUCGAAGUAUCUUGAAGCCUUUGAUCCAUCCUUGAAUUUCACGAAAUCUGAAAUAUUUAAUAGGUGCCUGGCCUGCUGUCUACUAUCGGUAGUUUGGUGCACAUUAUACUCUUCCAUCAUUCUAAAGUGACGAGCUUCGUGGCGGGCGGAAAGACAAAAUUGCGAAAAUGGUGCGUCUGGUAGGCAAAUU
This 2744-nucleotide long non-coding RNA is filed under the name Lactuca sativa (garden lettuce). RNAcentral describes it as "long non-coding RNA (LSAT_LNC002189)". Lineage: Eukaryota; Viridiplantae; Streptophyta; Magnoliopsida; Asterales; Asteraceae. The record is from RNAcentral.